GAUGAACGCUGGCGGCGUGCCUAAUACAUGCAAGUAGAACGCUGAAGCUUGGUGCUUGCACCGAGCGGAUGAGUUGCGAACGGGUGAGUAACGCGUAGGUAACCUGCCUCUUAGCGGGGGAUAACUAUUGGAAACGAUAGCUAAUACCGCAUAAAAGUCGAUAUCGCAUGAUAUUGAUUUGAAAGGUGCAAUUGCAUCACUAAGAGAUGGACCUGCGUUGUAUUAGCUAGUUGGUGAGGUAACGGCUCACCAAGGCGACGAUACAUAGCCGACCUGAGAGGGUGAUCGGCCACACUGGGACUGAGACACGGCCCAGACUCCUACGGGAGGCAGCAGUAGGGAAUCUUCGGCAAUGGGGGCAACCCUGACCGAGCAACGCCGCGUGAGUGAAGAAGGUUUUCGGAUCGUAAAGCUCUGUUGUAAGAGAAGAACGAGUGUGAGAGGGAAAGUUCACA
RNAcentral lists this ribosomal RNA (455 nucleotides) under Streptococcus parasanguinis. RNAcentral describes it as "bacterial SSU rRNA". It matches the Rfam family "Bacterial small subunit ribosomal RNA", at positions 28 to 468 of the family's 1533-position model. Lineage: Bacteria; Bacillati; Bacillota; Bacilli; Lactobacillales; Streptococcaceae. The record is from RNAcentral.